UACGUAGGGGGCAAGCGUUGUCCGGAUUUAUUGGGCGUAAAGAGCGUGUAGGCGGCUUGGAAGGUCAGCUGUGAAAACUCGAGGCUCAACCUCGAGACGUCGGUUGAAACCACCUGGCUAGAGUCCGGAAGAGGAGAGUGGAAUUCCCGGUCGUAGCGGUGAAAUGCGCAGAUAUCGGGGAGGAACACCUGUGGCGAAGGCGGCCCCCUGGUUGGAUACUGACGCUGAUACGCGAAAGCGUGGGGAGCGAACAGG
RNAcentral lists this ribosomal RNA (255 nucleotides) under uncultured bacterium. RNAcentral describes it as "partial 16S ribosomal RNA". It matches the Rfam family "Bacterial small subunit ribosomal RNA", at positions 524 to 776 of the family's 1533-position model. The record is from RNAcentral.